ACUCUUAGUGACCCCAUGGACUAUAGCCUACCAGGCUCCUCCGUCCAUGGGAUUUUCCAGGACUUCAACUUUGCAUCUCCAGGAGGAUGACUCCUAAGACCUUAUCUCCAGCUUGGUCAAUUGGCCAGUCCUGUAUUUGGAAUUGCUUGGCACAGGACCCCACAGGAUACCCCACUCUAAAGCUCUUCUUUUUCCCCUGCAACAAAAGCUAUCUCCCCCAAGGCCAUCAACUCCAGAUUUCAUCUCCUCCCUCACCUCCCUUCCUUGGUCUACAUCUUAUUCUUUCUUCCUUUUCUGUUCCUCUUCUCUUCAGGUAGCUCCAACUCCUGUAAUCUCUCUGAGGAUAGCGAUAGGGGCUUCCUGCUUGGGCUCACUGCUCCCUGGGUGUGGGCCUUCCACUCACCAACAUUUGUGACCCAAAUUUCCUGUAACUCAAGAGUGCUCUCUGGGCUUCCCUGGUGGUCCAGUGGUUAAGAAUCCACCUUGAAACCCUGGGGACACAGGUUUGAUCUCUGGCCUGGGAAGAUCUCAUGUACCACGGGGCAACCGAUCCUGUGCGCCACAACUAAUGAGCCUGUGCUCUGGAGGUCACAAGCCCCAGUGCUGAGCCUACGUGCCACAGAUACCGAAGCCUGAGAGCUCUAGAGCCUGCGUUCUGCAACAAGAGAAGACACCACAAUGAGAAGCCCUUGAAGCACAACUACAGUGGCCCCCACUUGCUGUAAUUGGAGAAAGCCCGCCUGCAGCAAAGCCAAAGAUAAAUAAAUUGAAAAAAAAAAAAAAAAA
Bubalus bubalis (water buffalo) is the source of this 786-nucleotide long non-coding RNA. RefSeq lists it as uncharacterized. The transcript has 2 exons. The record is from RefSeq and is a predicted model, not a curated record. NCBI's taxonomy places the organism in Eukaryota, Metazoa, Chordata, Mammalia, Artiodactyla, Bovidae.